RNAcentral lists this ribosomal RNA (2900 nucleotides) under Klebsiella pneumoniae UCI 56. RNAcentral describes it as "bacterial LSU rRNA". It matches the Rfam family "Bacterial large subunit ribosomal RNA". The record is from RNAcentral. Lineage: Bacteria; Pseudomonadati; Pseudomonadota; Gammaproteobacteria; Enterobacterales; Enterobacteriaceae.
UUAAGCGACUAAGCGUACACGGUGGAUGCCCUGGCAGUCAGAGGCGAUGAAGGACGUGCUAAUCUGCGAAAAGCGUCGGUAAGGUGAUAUGAACCGUUAUAGCCGGCGAUGUCCGAAUGGGGAAACCCAGUGUGAUUCGUCACACUAUCGUUAACUGAAUACAUAGGUUAACGAGGCGAACCGGGGGAACUGAAACAUCUAAGUACCCCGAGGAAAAGAAAUCAACCGAGAUUCCCCCAGUAGCGGCGAGCGAACGGGGAGCAGCCCAGAGUCUGAAUCAGCUUGUGUGUUAGUGGAACGGUCUGGAAAGUCCGACGGUACAGGGUGAUAGUCCCGUACACCAAAAUGCACAGGCUGUGAACUCGAAGAGUAGGGCGGGACACGUGGUAUCCUGUCUGAAUAUGGGGGGACCAUCCUCCAAGGCUAAAUACUCCUGACUGACCGAUAGUGAACCAGUACCGUGAGGGAAAGGCGAAAAGAACCCCGGCGAGGGGAGUGAAAAAGAACCUGAAACCGUGUACGUACAAGCAGUGGGAGCACCUUCGGGUGUGACUGCGUACCUUUUGUAUAAUGGGUCAGCGACUUAUAUUCUGUAGCAAGGUUAACCGUAUAGGGGAGCCGCAGGGAAACCGAGUCUUAACUGGGCGUUAAGUUGCAGGGUAUAGACCCGAAACCCGGUGAUCUAGCCAUGGGCAGGUUGAAGGUUGGGUAACACUAACUGGAGGACCGAACCGACUAAUGUUGAAAAAUUAGCGGAUGACUUGUGGCUGGGGGUGAAAGGCCAAUCAAACCGGGAGAUAGCUGGUUCUCCCCGAAAGCUAUUUAGGUAGCGCCUCGUGAACUCAUCUUCGGGGGUAGAGCACUGUUUCGGCUAGGGGGUCAUCCCGACUUACCAACCCGAUGCAAACUACGAAUACCGAAGAAUGUUAUCACGGGAGACACACGGCGGGUGCUAACGUCCGUCGUGAAGAGGGAAACAACCCAGACCGCCAGCUAAGGUCCCAAAGUCAUGGUUAAGUGGGAAACGAUGUGGGAAGGCACAGACAGCCAGGAUGUUGGCUUAGAAGCAGCCAUCAUUUAAAGAAAGCGUAAUAGCUCACUGGUCGAGUCGGCCUGCGCGGAAGAUGUAACGGGGCUAAACCAUGCACCGAAGCUGCGGCAGCGACACUAUGUGUUGUUGGGUAGGGGAGCGUUCUGUAAGCCUGCGAAGGUGACCUGUGAGGGUUGCUGGAGGUAUCAGAAGUGCGAAUGCUGACAUAAGUAACGAUAAAGCGGGUGAAAAGCCCGCUCGCCGGAAGACCAAGGGUUCCUGUCCAACGUUAAUCGGGGCAGGGUGAGUCGACCCCUAAGGCGAGGCCGAAAGGCGUAGUCGAUGGGAAACAGGUUAAUAUUCCUGUACUUGGUGUUACUGCGAAGGGGGGACGGAGAAGGCUAUGUUAGCCGGGCGACGGUUGUCCCGGUUUAAGCAUGUAGGCUGGUUAUCCAGGCAAAUCCGGAUAAUCAAGGCUGAGGUGUGAUGACGAGGCACUACGGUGCUGAAGUAACAAAUGCCCUGCUUCCAGGAAAAGCCUCUAAGCAUCAGGUAACAUUAAAUCGUACCCCAAACCGACACAGGUGGUCAGGUAGAGAAUACCAAGGCGCUUGAGAGAACUCGGGUGAAGGAACUAGGCAAAAUGGUGCCGUAACUUCGGGAGAAGGCACGCUGGUGUGUAGGUGAAGUCCCUGCGGAUGGAGCUGAGACCAGUCGAAGAUACCAGCUGGCUGCAACUGUUUAUUAAAAACACAGCACUGUGCAAACACGAAAGUGGACGUAUACGGUGUGACGCCUGCCCGGUGCCGGAAGGUUAAUUGAUGGGGUUAUCCGUAAGGAGAAGCUCUUGAUCGAAGCCCCGGUAAACGGCGGCCGUAACUAUAACGGUCCUAAGGUAGCGAAAUUCCUUGUCGGGUAAGUUCCGACCUGCACGAAUGGCGUAAUGAUGGCCAGGCUGUCUCCACCCGAGACUCAGUGAAAUUGAACUCGCUGUGAAGAUGCAGUGUACCCGCGGCAAGACGGAAAGACCCCGUGAACCUUUACUAUAGCUUGACACUGAACAUUGAGCCUUGAUGUGUAGGAUAGGUGGGAGGCUUUGAAGCGUGGACGCCAGUCUGCGUGGAGCCAACCUUGAAAUACCACCCUUUAAUGUUUGAUGUUCUAACGUUGGCCCCUUACCGGGGUUGCGGACAGUGUCUGGUGGGUAGUUUGACUGGGGCGGUCUCCUCCCAAAGCGUAACGGAGGAGCACGAAGGUUAGCUAAUCCUGGUCGGACAUCAGGAGGUUAGUGCAAUGGCAUAAGCUAGCUUGACUGCGAGCGUGACGGCGCGAGCAGGUGCGAAAGCAGGUCAUAGUGAUCCGGUGGUUCUGAAUGGAAGGGCCAUCGCUCAACGGAUAAAAGGUACUCCGGGGAUAACAGGCUGAUACCGCCCAAGAGUUCAUAUCGACGGCGGUGUUUGGCACCUCGAUGUCGGCUCAUCACAUCCUGGGGCUGAAGUAGGUCCCAAGGGUAUGGCUGUUCGCCAUUUAAAGUGGUACGCGAGCUGGGUUUAGAACGUCGUGAGACAGUUCGGUCCCUAUCUGCCGUGGGCGCUGGAGAAUUGAGGGGGGCUGCUCCUAGUACGAGAGGACCGGAGUGGACGCAUCACUGGUGUUCGGGUUGUCAUGCCAAUGGCACUGCCCGGUAGCUAAAUGCGGAAGAGAUAAGUGCUGAAAGCAUCUAAGCACGAAACUUGCCCCGAGAUGAGUUCUCCCUGAGACUAUAAGUCUCCUGAAGGAACGUUAAAGACGAUGACGUUGAUAGGCCGGGUGUGUAAGCGCAGCGAUGCGUUGAGCUAACCGGUACUAAUGAACCGUGAGGCUUAACCUU